This 309-nucleotide long non-coding RNA is filed under the name Vigna radiata. Its description in RNAcentral is "long non-coding RNA (VRAD_LNC014706)". Lineage: Eukaryota; Viridiplantae; Streptophyta; Magnoliopsida; Fabales; Fabaceae. The record is from RNAcentral.
CAAGGAGUAAGAGAAAAGCUGAAAGGGAAGUUGUAGAGAUUGGGAGCAGUGACGAAGAGGAGGAAAGAGAGGUCAUAAUGAGCAGCAGUAGCAGUGAAGGGGAGGAAGAAGAGGAAGCAAGAGUUAGUCAUAAUGAGCAGAAAAGAGAAGUUUAUUAAUGACUAUAGUGCCUUCAGUUAUUAAACAGAUUCCUGCAAGGAUGAAAUUUUAUCUUGGAGAUAUGAUAGAUUUAGAUGAAGAUGAUGAUGAGCAGGAAUUUGAGAUUCAACAUCUGAAGAAUUAUCCGCCUAAAGCAAAAGAUCCAGGUUG